UGUUUCCUGGGAUGUUUGCAAGUUCAUUCAUGUCCCUGGCCGAUGCUUUAAACCUAGGAAGUUGAAACCGUGACUAUUGUGCAAGCUCGGCUCGUAUCGAGACGCCUACGGUCACAGUGAUUCUUCCGCCCUGAACUUUUCGGUUCACGGGCGAAAAUGGACACGCGGCAUUCUGGGAGACGC
Alteromonas sp. RW2A1 is the source of this 183-nucleotide non-coding RNA. The record is from Rfam. Lineage: Bacteria; Pseudomonadati; Pseudomonadota; Gammaproteobacteria; Alteromonadales; Alteromonadaceae.